AUACUUAUUUUGUCAGCACCUGUACUAAAAUUGGAAUGAUACAUGGAAAGAUUAGCAUGACCCUUGCACAAGGAUGGCAUGAAAACUUGUGAAGCCUUCUAUAUUUAU
This 108-nucleotide small nuclear RNA is filed under the name Castor canadensis (American beaver). Lineage: Eukaryota; Metazoa; Chordata; Mammalia; Rodentia; Castoridae. The record is from RNAcentral.